GAGUUUGAUCAUGGCUCAGGACGAACGCUGGCGGCGUGCUUAACACAUGCAAGUCGAACGGAAAGGCCCUUCGGGGUACUCGAGUGGCGAACGGGUGAGUAACACGUGGGUGAUCUGCCUCGUACUUUGGGAUAAGCCUGGGAAACUGGGUCUAAUACCGGAUAUGACCUUGAGAUGCAUGUCUCUUGGUGGAAACUUUUUGGGUACGAGAUGGGCCCGCGGCCUAUCAGCUUGUUGGUGGGGUAAUGGCCUACCAAGGCGACGACGGGUAGCCGGCCUGAGAGGGCGACCGGCCACACUGGGACUGAGACACGGCCCAGACUCCUACGGGAGGCAGCAGUGGGGAAUAUUGCACAAUGGGCGGAAGCCUGAUGCAGCGACGCCGCGUGAGGGAUGACGGCCUUCGGGUUGUAAACCUCUUUCACCAGGGACGAAGAGAAAUUGACGGUACCUGGAGAAGAAGCACCGGCCAACUACGUGCCAGCAGCCGCGGUAAUACG
This 500-nucleotide ribosomal RNA is filed under the name uncultured eubacterium WR169. Its description in RNAcentral is "bacterial SSU rRNA". It matches the Rfam family "Bacterial small subunit ribosomal RNA", at positions 9 to 527 of the family's 1533-position model. The record is from RNAcentral.